RNAcentral lists this ribosomal RNA (1484 nucleotides) under uncultured bacterium. Its description in RNAcentral is "bacterial SSU rRNA". It matches the Rfam family "Bacterial small subunit ribosomal RNA". The record is from RNAcentral.
AGAGUUUGAUCCUGGCUCAGAGUGAACGCUGGCGGCGUGCCUAACACAUGCAAGUCGAACGAGAACGGGUUAAAGUUUACUUUAACUGUCAGCUAAGUGGCGCACGGGUGAGUAAUAUAUAGUUAAUCUGCCCCAAAGAAGAGAAUAAUUGUUGGAAACGACUUGUAACUCUCUAUAUGCCUUUAUCACAAAAGUGAGCAAGGGAAACAUUUAUGGCUUUGGGAUGAGACUGUACGGUAUCAGUUAGUUGGUAAGGUAAUGGCUUACCAAGACUAUGACGCCUAACUGGUUUGAGAGGAUGAUCAGUCACACUGGAACUGAGACACGGUCCAGACUCCUACGGGAGGCAGCAGUGGGGAAUAUUGCACAAUGGAGGAAACUCUGAUGCAGCAACGCCGCGUGGAGGAUGACACAUUUCGGUGCGUAAACUCCUUUUAUAUGAGAAGAUAAUGACGGUAUCAUAUGAAUAAGCACCGGCUAACUCCGUGCCAGCAGCCGCGGUAAUACGGGGGGUGCAAGCGUUACUCGGAAUCACUGGGCGUAAAGAGCAUGUAGGCGGAUAGAUAAGUUGGAAGUGAAAUCCUAUGGCUUAACCAUAGAACUGCUUCCAAAACUGUCUAUCUAGAAUAUGGGAGAGGUAGAUGGAAUUUCCGGUGUAGGGGUAAAAUCCGUAGAGAUCAGAAAGGAAUACCGAUUGCGAAGGCGAUCUACUGGAAACAUUAUUGACGCUCAGAUGCGAAAGCGUGGGGAGCAAACAGGAUUAGAUACCCUGGUAGUCCACGCCCUAAACGAUGCACACUAGUUGUUGCCUUGCUAGACAAGGCAGUAAUGCAGUUAACACAGUAAGUGUGCCGCCUGGGGAGUACGGUCGCAAGAUUAAAACUCAAAGGAAUAGACGGGGACCCGCACAAGCGGUGGAGCAUGUGGUUUAAUUCGACGAUACGCGAAGAACCUUACCUGGCCUUGACAUAGAGAGAACUUACUAGAGAUAGUUUGGUGCUAGCUUGCUAGAACUUUCAUACAGGUGCUGCACGGCUGUCGUCAGCUCGUGUCGUGAGAUGUUGGGUUAAGUCCCGCAACGAGCGCAACCCUCGUGUUUAGUUACUAACAGUUCGGCUGAGGACUCUAGACAGACUGCCUACGCAAGUAGGAGGAAGGUGAGGACGACGUCAAGUCAUCAUGGCCCUUACGGCCAGGGCUACACACGUGCUACAAUGGGGUAUACAAAGAGCCGCAAUACCGUGAGGUGGAGCAAAUCUCAUAAAAUGCCUCCCAGUUCGGAUUGUAGUCUGCAACUCGACUACAUGAAGUUGGAAUCGCUAGUAAUCGUAGAUCAGCUAUGCUACGGUGAAUACGUUCCCGGGUCUUGUACUCACCGCCCGUCACACCAUGGGAGUUGAUUUCAUUCGAAGCGGGGAUGCUAAAAUAGCUACCUUCCACAGUGGAAUUAGCGACUAGGGUGAAGUCGUAACAAGGUAACCGUA